This 253-nucleotide ribosomal RNA is filed under the name uncultured bacterium. RNAcentral describes it as "partial 16S ribosomal RNA". It matches the Rfam family "Bacterial small subunit ribosomal RNA", at positions 524 to 776 of the family's 1533-position model. The record is from RNAcentral.
UACGAAGGGGGCUAGCGUUGCUCGGAAUUACUGGGCGUAAAGCGCACGUAGGCGGACUCUUAAGUCGGUGGUGAAAUCCUGGAGCUCAACUCCAGAACUGCAUUCGAUACUGGGAGUCUUGAGUCCGGGAGAGGUGAGUGGAACUGCGAGUGUAGAGGUGAAAUUCGUAGAUAUUCGCAAGAAUACCAGUGGCGAAGGCGGCUCACUGGCCCGGUACUGACGCUGAGGUGCGAAAGCGUGGGGAGCAAACAGG